RNAcentral lists this ribosomal RNA (319 nucleotides) under uncultured Glissomonadida. Its description in RNAcentral is "bacterial SSU rRNA". The stretch from base 101 to 319 matches the Rfam family "Eukaryotic small subunit ribosomal RNA", at positions 736 to 955 of the family's 1831-position model. The record is from RNAcentral. Lineage: Eukaryota; Cercozoa; Glissomonadida.
GAUUUCUGACUUGUAACACCAGGUCCAUCCGUAAGGGUGCGUAUUUGGUUGUUCGGGUCAUCCUUCCGAUGAGUACCAUUGCCCUUCACUGGGUUGGUGGUGCGCCAUCGGAUCUUUUACUUUGAAAAAAUUAGAGUGUUCAAAGCAGGCAUUUAGCUGUGAAUACAUUAGCAUGGAAUAAUAAGAUAGGACUCCGGUUUUAUUUUGUUGGUUUCUAGGACUAGAGUAAUGAUUGAUAGGGAUAGUUGGGGGUGCUAGUAUUCAACGGCCAGAGGUGAAAUUCUAUGAUUCGUUGAAGACUAACUUAUGCGAAAGCAUU